GCAGAAGGAGGCUAUCGAUGUCGCCAUAGCUGCAUUUGAAAAGCAUAGUGUAGAGAAAGAUAUAGCAGAGUCUAUUAAGAAAGAGUUCGAUAAGAGGCAUGGACCGACCUGGCACUGCAUUGUUGGCCGUAAUUUUGGUUCGUACGUGACACACGAGACAAACCACUUUGUUUACUUCUACUUGGAUCAGAAAGCAGUUUUAUUGUUCAAAUCUGGUUGAUAAAACAUGUAUAUUAUGCAGAUUAAUGAAUCUUAUUCACUGAUUUUGUGAUCAUCGCAAUUUAAUCAAAU
Molecule: unclassified non-coding RNA, 291 nt
Filed under: Hevea brasiliensis (rubber tree)
Lineage: Eukaryota; Viridiplantae; Streptophyta; Magnoliopsida; Malpighiales; Euphorbiaceae
Source: RNAcentral